CGCUAUUAGCUCGUCAUCCGAUAAAAUUGGAACGAUACAGAGAAGAUUAGCAUGGCUCCUGCGCAAGGAUGACACGCACAAAUCGAGAAAUGGUCCAAAAAAAAUUUU
Small nuclear RNA from Papaver somniferum (opium poppy), 108 nucleotides. The record is from RefSeq and is a predicted model, not a curated record. Lineage: Eukaryota; Viridiplantae; Streptophyta; Magnoliopsida; Ranunculales; Papaveraceae.